GACGAACCGUGCAAACGUUGUUCGGAAUCACUGGGCUUAAAGGGCGCGUAGGCGGGCUGCCAAGUCUGGGGUGAAAUCUUUCGGCUUAACCGGAAAAUUGCCCUGGAUACUGGCGGUCUGGAGGGAGGUAGGGGCAUGUGGAACUUCCGGUGGAGCGGUGAAAUGCGUUGAUAUCGGAAGGAACGCCGGUGGCGAAAGCGACGUGCUGGACCUCUUCUGACGCUGAGGCGCGAAAGCUAGGGGAGCGAACGGG
This 253-nucleotide ribosomal RNA is filed under the name uncultured bacterium. RNAcentral describes it as "partial 16S ribosomal RNA". It matches the Rfam family "Bacterial small subunit ribosomal RNA", at positions 524 to 776 of the family's 1533-position model. The record is from RNAcentral.